Long non-coding RNA from Equus caballus (horse), 3289 nucleotides. The record is from Ensembl. Lineage: Eukaryota; Metazoa; Chordata; Mammalia; Perissodactyla; Equidae.
GUUGAGGUGUCUGUUCUCACCACCUCCAGUGAGCCCUCAUUUCAAGCUCCUGAGCCCUCUCCUCCAACAACUACCACCUGAUCUCUCCAGGCCUCCCACAUUAGGCUGCUUAUGAGCAUUGCUUUCAUUCCAGUCUGUGCCCACGCAAAUCCCACUUGGCCCCAUUUCUCACCCCAGGGUCAGCGUCUCCAGAGCAGGGUGAGAUGAUGUGCCUGGAGGAAGGGAAGAUGAAUGAUAACACACCAGGUCCUUCCCUUUUACUCAAUGAUAAGUAAUUUAAAAGAUCAUUUUUAUAUUAAAAAUAAACAUGGAGGCAUUAUUAAGUAGAACACAAAAAUCACAUGAAUUUCCAAGAUAAAAUAUGAGACUUCCAAGAAAUGUCUUGCUUGCAAUUGCUGCUUUGGACUCCACCAGCUCCUGUUUAGAAUAUUUCAGAAGAAAACUAUGAGAAACAAUUGGCAAAUAGGAUAAAGGGCUUAAGACGGAAUUUCAGAACUUCCAGUCUUUCCACUCACCUUCCGGGCUUAGUUAACCCCACUGCUCCACAAGAACCUUACUUGAAACCUCCUCUACAUCCCUUCAGCUUUCCCUCCUCAUCUCCUUUGCUUCCCCUGCAGCCUAGAACGUCCUCCUUCUUCCACCCAUUUAUCUGAAACACGCUCACCUGCCAUGAGAUCCUCUAAGAUUACAGUAUCUCCCCUCUGCUAAGCUCUCGGACUAAGCCAGCACUUGUCACAGCUACUGUGCAUUAUUAUAUUAUCUUUCUGUGGUGCAGUGCUUGUCUCACUCAGCUGCUUGAGAAUAGGGAUUGCAUCUGCUACAUUGUUGUGCCCUCACACAUGGAGCAAGAUAUCUUUCCCAGCGAAAUAAAAACAACAGUAGCAGCAGCAACAACUUGGCUUUAAUGAGCACUCAAACAUGUGAUCUCAAUAGAAUAUCAUAAUAACCCCAAGAGGAAAUUUUUCUAUUCUGUAGACGUGACAACUGACAUCUAAGAGAGGCUAAGCAAUUCUUACAAAGCCACAUAGGUGGGAAGAGACCGUGCCAUUCCCACUCCAGAGUUAGUGCUCGUAACUCCUGUUUUAAAUAGGUGCUCAAUAAAUGUUUACUAGCUGACUUUUUCUUUUUCUUCUUCCUCUUAAAAUGGCAGCAGAGCACCAUUGCAUGACCUUCACAGACUCCACGAAGAACAGAAGAAACACACAACAGAGCCCCACCCUCAUUUCUAACUCACAAAAAUCAUUACAUAUAAUAAAAUAGUUUUGGAUUUAAGCCACUAAGUUUUGGAGUAGCUUGUUAGGCAGCAACACAAAGCUGGGAUACCCUCACCAGGUCUGAAACAGCCUCCUCCUCAUGGCUAGCACUUAACACUUUUUUGUAUUAUUAUCACUGACUGCACAUUAGGCAAAGUUUCUGUCAAAUGCCCUCCUGGCUCCUUGUCAAUGCCUUUUCCCAACACCCAGGGCUCUUCAAGCUCCUCUGCCACACGCAAGUGUCUUCCUGAAGCUCCCCUCCCAGAACUCCCUCCCCCAAGAUGCCCCAAACCUCAGAAUGCCCUUGUGCCUGUCCCCCUUAUCUCCGCUCCUCACUCUCCCAUCAUCCUUCCCCUCACCCCAUUAAGGAGUUCCACGUGUGUUGGCAUUUUAAAGGAUGAAUUUGGAAAUCCCAAAGAAGCUCCAAGGUGAAAAUCAGAAAAAGAUAAAUGAAAACAGCAUCUUUGGGGGAGGCUCUGGAGGAAAGAGCCUGAGCAUUCAGCAGUCUCCCUGGUGUUUCUUCCCCACGGCCUCCUACAGGCACCAGAAGAAGGCCAUCAAUUUUACACCAAAACUUGUCAUAGGCUGCAGAGAACAAGACAGACACGGGAAUUGCGUUCCAAACUGCAAGACUCAGAGAACUCAGCAAGAGCUAGAAGCUGAUUGCUGCGCUCACCUGUGACCUCCCAGCUGGAGACAAUAGACUUGCCUCCUGCUACGCCCACCAAGGUCUGAGCUUGUUCAUCUGGAAGAAAAGAAGGCUGGACUAGAGCAGUGGUUCUCAAACUGGUCCCCAGACCAGCAACAUCAGCAUCACUGGGAACUUGUCAGAAAUGUAGAUUAUCAGGCCCCCCUUAGACCUAGUAAAUCAGAAACUCAGUGGUGAGCCCAGCAAUCUGUCUCUUAACAAGCCCUCCACGAGAUUCUGAUUUAUGCUCAAGUUUGAGAACUGCUGGACUAGAUGGUCUGGAGAAUCUCUCGGAAAAAAGAGCGCUCAUACUUCUUAGCUGGCUCAUAAGGUCCUCACUAAUCUGGUGCCCCUCUAACUGCCCAGUCUCUUAAGUCAACAGGCCUCUGCAUCUGCAUAAAACUACAAAAAUGUCCUUACAGAGACUUGCUCUUUGAAACUCUGUGUCUUUACAUGUGCUGUUCCUUCUUCCUGAAAUAACCUUUUUCUUCCACUACCUGUCUGUCUCCUAUCUGUCCUUCAACACUUGUUUGAGUGGUCACCUCUUCUAGGAAGACCUUCUAAUACCUCCCUUCUCAGGUCAGGUGUCUCCCCUCUGUGCUCUUCUAGCACUUUAUAAACGUCUCUGUUAUAUCGUUUGCCACCUUUAUCUGGUGCCCCACCGGACAGAGCUAGGUGUGGCCAGAAACUAUUUUAUUUCUGAACACUCAGGGCCUGCCACAAUGCCAGCCACAUAGUAUGUCCUCAGUAAACGUCAUGGCAUGAGUGAUUGAGUGGAUGACUUGCAUCCUCGUGUCAACUACCUGAAGGCUCAGAUGAUGACUUUUGAUUCUUGUUCAUCAUCUCGUAAUCAUUGAUAGUUAAUGUUUUUCAUAUUAUAAAUCCCAAUGAUUGUCUGAUCAUCAAUGCUAACUACUGUUAGUAAUGCUUUAUAGCAUAUUGCAUAAUCCAAGUUCUGUCAGAUCUGUUAGUCCACUUGAGCCUGUCAGCAAUCUAGUGAACUAGGUUAGAGCAGGUAUUAUUUUCAUGAUUUUAACAGCUGAGAAAACCACUCACAGAUACUAAAUGGCUUUCCUUGAUUAUCUAUUUCUGCUAACAUUAUUUUGUAUGUCCUCUGUGCAAGGCAUUGUGAUAGAAAAUGAGAAAUACAAAAGCUAGUAAGGACAUAAUCCUUGUCCUCCAGAAACCUAUAUUCUAGGAAAAAUUAAAACUUAUCCUCCAAGGGGCCAGCCCUGUGGCAGAGUGGUUGGGUUCCUGUGCUCUGCUUCAGCGGCCCAGGGUUUGCCAGUUCAGAUCUUGGUCGUGGACCUACACACCACUCAUCAGACCAUGCUGUGCCAGCAUCCCA